RNAcentral lists this long non-coding RNA (34129 nucleotides) under Octopus vulgaris (common octopus). Lineage: Eukaryota; Metazoa; Mollusca; Cephalopoda; Octopoda; Octopodidae. The record is from RNAcentral.
AGAGGGUGUAGGAUUAAAACGGAGGGGGAGGGUGAAUGUAAAACUAUUCAGGUUACACCAAAAUGGCGGAACUACUGAGAGGCGACUGUGGAUGAAAAAAAGUUUUGCUGUACUUUCGACCUGCCUGGGCAAACGUAAAGCAGUGAAACUAUAAGGCCCCUUUCAUUAGAGAUUAAGUCCUGGAAACUUUUAAGGUGAUUAACCUUCAUUUUUUUUCUUUUUGCUUCAUGUCACAAUUUAAUUCUUUAUAAAAGUCAGGCCGUUCUUUUAUUUUUGUUCUUUCUCUCUUUCUUUUUUUUCUCUUUCCCUCACACACGUUCUCUCUUUCUUUCUCUUUCCCUCACACACGUUCUCUCUUUCUUUCUCUUUCCCUCACACACGUUCUCUCUUUCUUUCUCUGUCCCUCACACACGUUCUCUCUUUCUUUCUCUUUCCCUCACACACGUUCUCUCUCUUUCUUUCUCUGUCCCUCACACACGUUCUCUCUUUCUUUCUCUCUGUCCCUCACACACGUUCUCUCUUUCUUUCUCUUUCCUCACACACGCUCUCUCUUUCUUUCUCUUUCUCAGCCUCUCUCUCUCUCUUUCAUCCUUUUUCUUCUCCGCGCACUGAUUCUAUCUAGAUAAUUCCCCUCUAUCACCUUUCAUUAACUUAAUUUUUCUUUCAAAGCUUCCUUUAUUUAUAUCAUUCAUUAUCUCAAUCCCUUUAAAACUAUUUUUCAUCUCUUCAAUGUUUCAUCUUCUUCUAUCUCCUCUCUCUCAAUCUCUCUCUCCUUUCUGUCGGACUGUCAUUCUUUAUUUUUCGUUCUUUCAGUUUCAAUAAUUUCUUCUAUUUCUUUCUUUUCUCUCCUCCUCUAAUCCCUUAUUCGCUCCUUCUCUCACUCAUUUACAUUUUCUUUCAUUUCUUUCUUUCAAGCCUAUCCCUUCCUCUCUACUUUGAUCCCUUUCUCACCAUCGCUAUUUCUCUCCCACAUCUUCUAUACCUUCUCUUCGACGGACCUUCACAAGUGGACCCAUUAAAAAACCCCUUCUUUCUUAAAGUUAUGAGGAAACAAAGUUAGUCGGGGAGGAAAGAGUUCCGAUUAUAUUGGAAAUUGUAGGGAAAACAAAUUCAGAGGGUUGAGGGCAAAGAAGUUACGGUAUAUUGACACAGGACGAAUUUGUUUCCUCAUAACUUUUUAAAAAAUGGAUAUUUUGUAAUGAAAUGUUCAACAAAUACUUUUUAAAUGAUGUAGAUUAUGAUUAAUUUGGUUUUUAAGGUUAAAAAAAAAUAAGAUGUUGCCGCUCACACAUACAUACCACGUAAUUUUUUUUUCAAAAUUUCAAGUUUCGAUUUGUGUUAGUUAAUAUGUAUGCAUGCGCACCUCACAAUAUCUUUUUAUAUUAAAUUCCAGUAUAAUUAUAAUCUACACCAUCUGAUAUGUAUUUGUAGAAAAUUCCAAUAAAAAAUACCUAUUUUUCUAAAAGUUAUAAGGAAAAAAAAGUGGGGAGGGGUCACUUGUAUAUUUUCGCUUUUCUGAUUUCUCAUUCAAUCACCAAAUUUUCUUCCUAUCUUUUAAUAUUUUCUCUCCAUCAGCCUCUUUAGUUUCUCUCUUAUGUUCUAUCUCUCUUUCUUCCUGCCACUUUGGGAUUUACGUUUUAAUAAUGGUUAUAUCCCAGAAAAACGGUCGGGUUUCGAUUCUUGGUUUGUCGUAGUUUAACAUACAAAAAGUCACUUCAUUUCGCAUCACAUUUCACUUUUGGCUAAAUAUGCCCACCACAAAGGAAAGGCAUGAACAUUAUCACAUCUCUUUUUUUUUCCCUCCUCUCUUUUCUCUGUUUUCCAUUUCACGAAGAUAACAAGGAAAACAAAACUCGCACAACAAACCCAAAAUGCCAAGAAUAAAAGAAAAAUCACAACAAAAAACGAAAACCAUUUUGUAUGACGAAAGAAAUGUUAGAAAGAUAAGAAAUAAGAAUUCCAAUCAUUCACUUGAAAUUCUUCGGUUUUUUCCUGCUAAUAGUACACUUAUCUUACAAGUGCUAUUUGCUCUUUGGCCCCAGUUCUUCGUUCUCAUUUAUAAUUCCAUUUUAGAAAGCAUCAUUGGCACACACACACACGUACGUGUAUAUUUAUAAAAGUGCCGUAUGGACUUGAUUAGGUAAAUCGUAUUUUAUCUUUCCCGGAAGGACGAAAAGUGUAAAGUGAACUUCGGGUGGGAUUUGAACUGAGAAUGUAACGGCCCGUGGUUAAACACUGCUUAAUAUUUUUGUUCGACGCCCUUUAUAGUCCUUUAUAAGACUAUAAGAUGUGAUUUGAAGGAGUGUUAGCUGCUAUUAUUCUUUCCCCAAAAGAAGCUCCCUUUUUGGCUAAUUAUAAUAGUCAUUUAACCUCAAAGCAACCCUGAUUCAACAAACCUUAUGAUCCAUUUGGCGUUGUUUUUGUUUAGGGCAUAGUAUUUCGAGAACUACAUUAUUUUAAUGUGACUUUCCUUUUUUGUUUUUUAUGACUAAGGUAUAAACAGAGAAUUUGGCUAUUCUUUCUAGCAUGGCGAAGGGACAUGUAUAAUACUCCCUCGAUGGCUCAAAGAUGUUGGCAUAAAAUUGUGGGUAUUCCGUGGUUUAGGCACCGAAAGAACAUUUUCAAAAUUGGAAGUCUGAUUCGGCUGCGCAAAAACAAGCGUCUUUCUAAAGGCGUUCUAAACGUGACCAUCCCGUCUUUUAAAGGCGUUCUAAACGUGACCAUCUCGUCUUUUAAAGGCGUUCUAAACGUGACCAUCUCGUCUUUUAAAGGCGUUCAAAAUGUGGCCAUUUCGUCUUUUAAAGGCAUUCAAAACGUGACCAUCUCGUCUUUUAAAUGCGUUCUAAACGUGACCAUCUCGUCUUUUAAAGGCAUUUUAACCAUAACCAUUCCGUCACUUUUAUCCAAUAUUUCUCUCGUGUCAUCGUAUUUUUUUUCUUCAAGAUACAGAAGAUAGAUAUAAUCAGGGGAUUGCUGCCUGCUUUAAAAAAGGGUUGGUUUUGGCUGAACUGCUUCUGAUAACAGGUCUGCUGGAACAGAACUGACCCUAGGCUAAACAACAUUGAGACGUGUGUGUGUGUGUACACUGUGGUCACUCAAUAUGGUGCAAUAGUAUCUACAUUCCCGGCCAGUGUGUAAUUUUCGUCAAAUUAAUCAAAAGAAAUACUGGAAAAACAAACUUUUUUAAGAAUUGAAGGACAACAUAUAUAUCUCUCUCUAUAUAUAAAGCUGAAGUUGUCUGUGUAUGGCAGGUUUGGUAGCCUUCAACUAACCUUAUCUCCUCCGAGACCCUGCGGCGCAAGUUGACCAAAAUUGAAAGUAUGAUAGAAGAAGGCUUGCUCUUCCUUCCGUAGAAGAAAAAAAUUCAAAUCGGACCAUGUUAACACCAAAAAUUAUUUACACCAAAAAGGUGCUUUUUUUUCUAUGAAAAUCCCUAUUUUUUACGAAUUUUUCACUGCAGUGUCGCCAUUUUUCGGUGUAUUUCAACCAGAAAAAUGUUCACUUAAAGAGAAUAACAAGCUACAUAAUGCAAAAUGUUUACUUUUCUAAAAUUCCAAUUCUAAAGGGUGGAAACAAACCCGAGCAACGCCGGGCGAUACUGCUAGUGUAUAUAUAUUUACGACUCCUCGAGGCGGCGAGUGGGCAGUAUCAUUAGCUCGCCGGGCAAAAUGCUUGGCGGCGUAUCGUCCCUCAUCACGUUGAGUUAAAAUUCUCCCGAGGUCGACAUCACCUUUCAUCCUUUCGGGGUGGAUAAAAUUAAGGACCAGUUCAGCGCUGGGAUCGAUGCAAUCGAUUUAACCCCCCCUUCCCUCGAAAUUGCUGGCCUUGUGCCAAAAUUUGAAAUCGAUACUUUACGACUCCUUGAAAUGGACACCUCUCCCACUCCAAAAAAUAGGCUGGUCAUGGGUGGCUCGUAAGGAUCAGCUAUGAUCCUUACGAUAAACAGUAACAACAACUAGCAACAGUUUAGUCCAGCUAAUGAGGAUCUCUCCAGCAGGCCCAUGGAUCAUUUGGGACCAGGCCACACGGAAAUAAUAAAUUUGAAAUACUUGUAUUUCUAUUUUAUUAAUUAUCACAGUCUGUAGAGUGUUUUUGUAUUAUGCAUGUAAUAUAACUGUGUGUCUGUGUGUGUGUAUGUAUAUAUAUACACACACCUUGACAGCCGGAGUUGUAUUCCGACUGACAGGUCGAAAAGUCAAUCUGGUUGUGGUUGUUUGUUGGAUUUAUAUUUUUCAACACAAUUUCCAUUCAAACACAACUGAUGCUUGAAAGCGACUGAGCGAGAGACAGUGACAGGCAGCGGAUACCUGGAUCUGAGGGAGGCCUGCGUUGCCAGAUGCUGCCAUAGAUGUCAUACGUGCGGCUACCCAACGUCCGAAAAUCGAUUUUUCAAUUUAUUUAUUUAAUUUUUUUUAUUUCUUAUUUUUUGUUGUCGAAAGCCACAUAGGUCAUAAGUCGAGGAGAAGGCGCAUAUAUUAUAUAUAUAUAUAUCGUCAGUAGUUAACAUAUCUGAAAGUGAAGCGCGUUCUAAAGUAUUAGAGCAAUAAUGUAUUUUUAGGAAGUUAAAAGUUAUGGCUGGUCAUAGUGACCUUUGGUUUUGCACCUAUGAAGUGCUUUGCAGUAUAGACGACUCCUCAGACUCAAAUGAUGUGCCUAGAGUCGCCUCUACUGCUAAGCGCUUUAUAGGUGCGAAACCAAUGGUCACUCUAUGACCAGCCAAAGCUUUUAACUUCCUAAAAUGUAUUUAUUAGGGAGGGCAUCCAGCUGUAGAAGCCAUGGCAAAACAGAAACGGAGCUUGGACAGCUCCCCAGAUGGCCAGCUCUUGUCAAACCGUCCAACUCAUGCCGGCAUGGAAAAUGGACGUUAAAUGAUGAUAAUGAUGAUGGCGAAAGGAACGAAUAUGCACACCUGGUGUUUAGGGUUAGGGAUUUUGUUAUGCUGAAAACAGGUGGUGUAUGUAUUCUUUACCUCUGCUGAUGUUGAUCCCCAACUCUAUACCCACCCUCAGCCUAACCCACACACCACCCUCGCUUCCCCCACAUCCCAACACCACCACACCAUACUCCACUAUACCACAUCACACCACCUCUCACACACUAGCACUGACCACUUCCCAGCGCCACACCAUCAUCCACACACCUACACAUGCAUACACGCACAUGUCAAGGUCACCAGCCUUCUUCCACAUGCACAUAACAUGCUCUCUUAUACACACGCAUACGCACCUUUGUUUUGGGAUCACCACUACUUUAUUAUCUCCCCUUCCCCCUAGCUCUCUUGUGUGACCCUUCUGUCUGGUAUUCGCCAUGAUAGAUCGCUAGCCACUACACAUUCCUUAUUUUCUUUCCUUGUUUCUUUCUGUGUCCCUUUCUGUGGAAGAGCAUAGGCUCAAAACGUUAAAAAAAUUUUCACUUCCCGAGCGUUAAACUAAUACAUCUGUUUGUUGUCUACACCACCUGUCUUUGUCUUUUUUCUGUGAAUUCUCCCUAUAUAUAUAUAUAUAUGCAUAUAUAUAUACAUACAUACAUAUAUGUAUAUAUGUAUAUAUAUGCACACAUAUAAAAUAUGUAUUCAUGUAUAGGCACAGGAGUGUCUGUGUGGUGAGAAGUUUGCUUCCUAACCAUAUGGUUCCAGGUUCAUUCCAACUGUGGGGAACUUUGGACAAGUGUCUCUUAUAGCCUCAGGCUGACCAAAACCAUGUGAGUAGAUUUGGUAGAUGGAAACUGAAAGAAGCCCGUUAUAUAUAUGAUGAUGAUGAUGAUACAUGUGUGUGUGUGCAUCUUUGUGCAUGUGUUUGUCCCCCCCCCCCACUUGACAACUGAUGUUGGUGUGUUUAUGUCCCUGUAAUGUAAUGGUUUUGGAAAAUAGACCUACAGAAUAAAAACAAAAUAUAUACUAGGGUUGAUUUGUUCUACUAAGAUUCUUCAAGGCGGUGCCCCAGCAUGGCCAUAGUGUAAUGACUAAAGCAAGUAAAACAUACAAGGAAGAUUAUACAUGUAACGAUUAAAUUAUAUAUUAAAACCAUUUAUUAUGCUUUGUUACGCAUGUGGUUUCCUGCAGCCUGUGGAAACCUUGUCUUGUAUGAAACUGGUCUGUGGUUGGGGUCAGCUACUCUACAUGGUCCUUAAUCUAGAAUUGGAAAUUCACUCUGUGCAUGAAAUUUAGAAUUUCAUAGAUCAUCGUGUUGUAUAUGUCUGUUGUUGCUGUUGAUUAAUCUUUAGUCAUCUUUAAUCCAGCAGACUUCUAUGAUCAAAAGCAUUUCAAUAAGGAUUUGACUACUAUUUCUAGCAUCUUGGAUGGCAGUAUAAGAGGGUUCCUCUUUUGCUGGUGUUUGUUGCAAGUUCUUAGUGUUUAGCUUCAGGUCAGCCCUGAUCCAAAAAUGGGAUGGUCAUAUUUGGAAAGCUUUAAAAGGAUGAGAUGGUGAUGGUUGGAUUACUUUUAAAAGAUGAGACAGCCACAGUUGGAAUGUUUUUAAAAGGACAGCCAUCUUUGAUAUGCUUGUAAGACUUUAGCAUUCUGAUUAUUUUGUCUUAUGUAAUGCAUAUUUAUUCAAAUUGUUUUCAAUUAAUCCUGCAUCUGUCCUCUUGUAGCUUCAAGAGUUUGGUGAUAUAACUCUGUUUUUAGAAUGACAUUGUAGGAUAUGUAUAAGAAGCCAGAUCUGGUUGGUGGAGCUAAAACAGGUAGAAUCUGAUAUGGUCAGGUGUGGCUGGUUGCAAUACUGAAGGGUUAAAGAUUAUACAACUUUUAGACAGAAGUAUAUUUUCAUGUGUCUGUGCGCACAUUUCUCUGCACCAUUCUGCACAAGCGUAACGGAAUCAAACCGUUCUUUAUUCUACCCCACCCCUACCCCAAACCCACUCCCACCAACACCUCAAACUCUUUUGAGGUUUUUAUUAAAAGACAACAUAGAAAUUUUAAGGCACAGAUCCUUUUGAUAAAACAUUUUAAUUAUAUAUUCAGUCUCUGUUAUAAUAAUUAACUUCAUUUAAGUCACUAAUUAAAGUCUUGCAGUAAAAAAACCUGCCUGCAACAAACUUUUAUUUCCUCUUUUGUUAAAUUUGUUAAAUUUUCAAUUAAGAAUUUUUUUUUGUAAUUGUAUAUCUUUUAAAAAUUUUACUUUUAGUUGUUUCUUUUGAGACGAUUUCAUCAUGACUUUAAUAACAUUUAAGAAAGGUUUAUUAUCCGUAAUCAUAUCCAUUAGAUCUCCCUUUAAGGGACUGUAAAUUCUACAUUCAUUGCCCUAAUGAUGUUAAUUAUCUGCCAAAAAAUAGAAACAAUAUUUUCUGCUUCUGCAAUACUUUUCCAUUCUCUCCCGUAAAUACAGUUUCCAUAUUCACCACUAUAAGUAUUUGAUUUUUUUUUCUAUAAAGAGAGAUAUUUGAUAAAAGAAAACAAAUAAUGUUGCGUCUGGGGAGAGUAAUUUUCUUUUUGUGCCUUAUUAUGUAACACACUCACCGGUAAAAUUUCCACUUAUUUCUUAUUUUUAUUUUCCUAAAAUUUUCAUUCCGUCUUGCUACCUUUUCAAUAGUUUUGGUGGAAAUUUUUCCGGUGAGUGUGUUACAUUAUAAGGCACAAAAAGAAAAUGACUCUCCCCAGACACAACAGAAUAUGCUUCAACACACGAACUCAUAUAAAGUCCCUUGCAAACCAAAUCCAAUAACGAAAUAUAAAACAAAUAAUGAAAAUCUGAAAAAAGCUGUUGUUUGCAAAGAGCAGAACUAAGAGUAUCUCUGCAUCUCACAAUAUAAAGAGAAUUUGCAGUUAAUGGCAAUAAAAGUUUGAAGGGACAUAUCCACUUACCACAUUCAAAAGAUUAAAUCUCAUUUCUCUUUUUGUUGUUGUUUCUUGUUUUUCAAGAAUUUAUCCUUAUCGUGAUGUACAGGCAAAAUUGUAAAAACAUCAAACAAAAUCUCUGCAAUAGAAAGUUAGACUUCACGUUCCAAGUUCAGAAGACCCUGCUAAAGGUCAACUUUUAUUUUUAUCAGGAGUUGAUAAAGUUAGAGCAUCCAAAAUAUGUGAAUGAAUUAUUACAAAGGACUUAGAAGAGAACUGUUAUUGUGUGUGUGUUUGUUCAUGGCUUUUGAUUUCCUUUUGAGAACCAUUUCAUUUAUGUGGCUGAAGUGUCAUUCAAUCAAGCAUGCACACAUGUUCAAGGAGACUGGACUACCAAAUGGUUCUGGGUUCAGUCCCACUGUGUGGCACCUUGGGCAAGUGUCUUCUACUAUAGCCUUGGGUCAACCAAAGCCUUGUGAGUGGCUUUGGUAGAUGGAAACUUUUAAAAAGCCUGUUGUAUAUAUAUAUGCACAGGUGUAGCUGUAUGGUAAGUAGCUUGCUUACCAACCACAUGGUUCCAGGUUUAGUCCCACUGUGUGGCACCUUGGGCAAGUGUCUUCUAUUAUAGCCUUGGGCAGACCAAAGCCUUGUGAGUAGAUUUGGUAGACGGAAACUGAAAGAAGCCUGUCAUAUAUGUAUAUGUUUGUGUGUCUGUAUUUGUCUGCCCCCACCAUCACUUGACAACUGAUGUUGGUGUGUUUAUGUCCCUAUAACUUAGCUGUUUGGCAAGACACUGAUAUAAUAAGUACUAGGCUUACAAAGAAUAAGUCCUGGGGUCGAUUUGUUUGGCUAAAGGUGGUGCUCCUGCAUAGCCGCGAUCAAAUGACUUAAACAAAUAAAAGAAUAGCAGUUUGUAUCAUGUACCUUCCCCAUAUUUGUACAUUAGUCACAAUGCGUUUCACAUUAUUUUUGUUUUUGAAUGAUGCCACCAUGCUGCUGGCUCUGCGAGCUGGCUCACAUCUGACCGGAAGGAUAUUCCGGUGCAGGGUGACCCAUAUACAGCUGAGAUGACCGGAACAAUGUGUAAUGAAGUGUUUUGGUCAAGAACACAAUGCACUGCCUGGUUGAGGAAUUGAACCCAUGGUCUAGUGAUUGUGAGUGCCUACAGAAAGAAAGAAAGAGAGAGAGAGAGAGAGUAUGCCACUGAUAUACUUCUGUGCUUUUCAACACUAUGUCUAUGGAGGAAGCUUUCUCAAGACAAAUACUGCAGUUUCAUGGCUUUCACUAGUGUAUCCACAUUAAGUAAAAUAUACAGAAUUCCAUUCUGAAGCAAUAUUGCUUCCCUCACUAAUGACUUUAUAUAUAGUCAUAUAUACACAUAUAUAUUAUAUGUGUACACAAGUGUGACUGGGUUAAGAGGUUUGCUUCCCAACCCUGUGGUUUCAGGUUUCGUCUUACUGUGUGCCACCUUGGGCAAAUGUCUUCUUCUAUGUACUGUAUCGUUGAAUGGAUUUGUUAAAUGGAAACUGGAAGAAGCUCAUUGUGUGUGUUUGUAUUUUCCCAUCUUGUAACAAGUGUCAGUGUCAUACGAGUGAUGUGAUUUGUGUUCAGUCUUCCAUGGAAACCAUGUCCAGUCAUGGAGAAAUAUUCUUUUCUACUCUAGGCACAAGGCCUGAAAUUUUGGGGGAAGGGGUGGGCAGUUGAUUAGGUUGACCCCAGUAUGCAACUGGUACUAUCGACCCUGAAAGGAUGAAAGGCAAAGUUGACCUCGGUGGAAUUUGAACUCAGAAUGUAAAGGUCAGACGAAACCCUGCUAGGCAUUUCACUUGGUGUGCAAAUGUUUCUGUCGGCUCACCAUCUUACCUUACAGUGAAGGUUGUUGAUAGGAAAGGCAUCUGACCACAGAACAUUUGGCUCAAGGAAUUCCAUCUGACCCAUGCAUGCAUGGAAAAGUAAAUGUUACAAUAUAUGCAAAUAAACACAAAAUACUUGUCUCUUUUAUGCUGGCAUGGAUGGUUCAACAGGCAGAACCUGAGUCGGAGGACUGCAUUGAACUCCAGUGUUUGUUGUAUGGGGUUUCUAAAAGCUGAAUGCUUUUUCUAACUCUGACCACUUUACAGUGUGUACUGGAUGCUUUCCAUGGCAACAUCACCAACGAGGUUGCCAUGUCACUUGCAAAACCAAGAAAAGACUCUUGGUUGAGUUGGGGUUCUGGUAGAGAAGAAUGUGGCUGUUCAUAUGUUUGUAAUUUUGAUGGGAAAUUAAAAUUUAGAUUACAUUAAUCCCUUGCCAUAUCGUGGGUCACCUAUCGUGUCCUCAGUACGUCACAGAUUUUUCUGGCUGAUAUAUGUGAAUUUAUAUCAUAGAAUCCUCAGUAUAUCUGGGUUUCUGUAGCUGAUAGGUAUUUAUAUUUUUUAAAUUUUAAUUAUUUCUGCGAGAGAUUUUGGAAUGUCAAGGGAUUAUAUUGGAGUCCCCCUUUGGUCAUGACUGACCAUGGGAUUCCACCUAGAAAGUUACCCUCCGAGGCACAAGUCUGGGCAAGGUUGUUUAUGGAAGACCAGCAGUCACCCAUGCAUACCAACCUCCCCUCUGCACACCACUGAUGUUAUCCAAAGGAAAGGCAAAGGGGCCGAUACAACUUGGCACCAGUGAUGUCGCAACUCAUUUCUACAGCUGAGUGAACUGGAGCAACAUGAAAUAAAGUGUCUUGCUCAAGAACACAAAACACAGGCCAGUCUGGGAAGCGAACUCACAACCUCACGAUCAUAAGCUCGAUGCUCUAACCACUGAGCCAUGCGCCUUCACGUCAAGGGGUUACUGCACUUUAAAAUAGAAAAUUUGCGUUGUAGAACCAGAGGAGAUUAAGCCUUUGAAUUAUAGGUACAAUGCAUUUGAUAGGCUUCUGCACAGUUUCUUUUUGUUCCUAACGGCCUUGAGUAUGGUAAAAACACUUGCCCAAGAUACCAUGCAAGUGGUGUUGCGCAUAGGAUCCUUGUGAUUGUGAAAUAACUUAUAAUGUUUAAAAGCAUUCCAUCAUCACUCAACCAUGCUUCAGAAUUCUUACCAUUUUACAUUCAAAUGUCUUCCUUAUGGUCAUUUGCUUCUUGGAAUCACUGUCUACGUAGCACUCCAAUAUUUGUCCCCUUUAGUUCUGUAUGUUCUAAACCAAUUACCUUAGGUUUCAUUAAGCUUCAUCAUUGUCGUUUAAUGUCUGCUUUCUAUGUUGGCAUGGGUUGAAUAGUUUGACUGAGGACUGGUGAGCCAGGAGACUGCACCAGACUCCAGUCUGAUCUGGCAGUGUUUCUACAGCUGGAUGCCCUUCCUAACACCAACCACUCCGAGAGUAUAGUGGGUGCUUUUACAUGCCACCUCCAUGGGUGCCAGUCUGGCGGCAUUGGCAAUGACCGCAUUUGAAUGUUGUUUUUCACGUACCAGUAAUACGACGCUCACAAUGAUCAUGCUUGAAUGGUACUUUUUAUGUGCCACUGGCUCGAGAGCCAAUCAGCCGCCCUGGCAACGAUCACGCUCGGAUGGUGCUUUUAACGUCCCACUGGCAUGAGUGCCAAUCAGGCAGUACUGUCAUUGGCCACGUCAGCGAUUUUGAUUUCACUUGUCUCAAUAGGUCUUUGCAAGCAAAGUUUAUUGUCCAAUGAAUGAGGGGUACUCAUAAGUGGGCUGGUUAUACCCACUGGCAUUGGCCAUGGGUUACGGUCUCACUUGACUUGUCGGGUUUUAUGAAUUGAAACCCCACAGACCUGUUUUUUUUGUCUCUUUUCCUCUCUUUGGUCUCAAUAUGGACUGAUGUCUCCAUUUGGCACAAUCAGUGACACGUCUAUCUCUCUUAGAAGUCACAAAUAGAGUAAAAUUCAAACAAAAUAAACUAGGCUUGGCUGUGUGGUAAGAAGUUUGCUUCCCAACGACAUGGUUCUAGGUUCAGUCCCACUACAUGGCGACUUGGGUAAAUGUCUUUUACUAUAGCCUUGGGCCAACCAAAUCUUUGUGAGUAGAUUUGGCAGACGGAAACCGAAAAGAAACCCGUCGAGUGUGUGUGUGUUUAUUCCCCACCACUGCUUGACACCUAGUGUUGGUGUCUAUGUCCCCAUAACUUAGUGGUUCGGCAAAAAAAGUCCAACAGAAAAGUACCAAAAAACAGUAAGCAUGGGUGUCAGUUUGUUCUGCAAGGUGGUGCUCCAGCAUGGCUGCAGUCUAAUGACUGAAACCAGUAAAAGAUAAAAGCUAAGAAUAUCACAAAAUUGAGAGAUAUCACCACCAACAACUGUAGUGUGAUCAAUCUAAAAAAUGUCCAGCUCCAUCUCCCGGUCAACUGUGGGCUGCUCAGUAAACAAACCUGGCAGCUGCGGGAUUUUCAAAUUCCUGUUUGUCAUUUUACCUGGAUUAAAGAAGAGACUGGACAAUCUUUUGCUGGAUAUUUAGAGUUGCACCUGUAUUUGUAUAGUUAUUUGUGGAUUUAUUUUUAUACAUACAUGCAUACGUGGUAGGUAUGUGUGAUUUUGUAUGCAUAUAUAUAUACAUUUAUAUUUGGGUGUAUGCAUGUCUCUAUAUGUCUAAGCAUGUAUAUGUGUGUAGUGAUAUAUUUAUACACACUGUGGAGCUUGGUUUACGAAUUUAAUUUGUUCCUGAAGGCUGUUCCUCACCUGAAAUGUUUGUUAACUAAAAUGAUUUUUCCUGUAGGAAAUUCAGGAGAAGGCACAGCAAAUUCAAGCGGGGAUAUGCUCUGAGUGAAAACUAGACUGCAACAGGUGCCCUCUCAUAGAUACACCCUGCUUGUCACCAACCUUUGUUGCAGGCUUCUGUGUUCAUUACUUGAGACACUGUUUGUCACCUGAGAUGUUUUAUGUUAAAAAAUUUGUUCAUGAUGAGAGGUGUUUGUAAACUGAGGUUCCACUGUAUAUAUUAAAAAGACAGACAGAUAGAUAGCUUGUAUAAUAUAUAUAUAAUCAAAAUAAGCAACAAGGAUAUCCAAGGUAGUGUAGUACAAUCGUUUCAUGCUACUACACUACCUUGGAUAUCCUUGUUGCUUAUUUUGAUUAUAAACACCCCAUUUCAUUUAUAUGGAUAAUACCAUACCAGAUUCUGGUGCCUUUAAAUUAAGUACCAUAUUCAUCUGAAUCUAAAUUUUGCUGAACUUAUAUAUAUAUAUAUAUAUAUAUAUAUAUAUAUAUAUAAGUAUGGUGAUGCAAAGAGGGAAAAUAGAACUCAAAAUAUGAGAGUAUAUUUUUAUUAAUAUUUAGCAGAAGCAACAGAAUGACUCAAGGGGAGAGUUUCAUGCGUUGGCACUUAUCAAAGCUUGAUGCGUGCUAACCAGGGCUGUGGAGUCAAAACAAAAGACUUUGACUCUGACUCCUCUACUAUUGACUCCUCUUUAUGUAAUUAAAGUGAUUUUGGUCUACAUAUCUCAUAAAACAUAUGCAUACACUUGUACUUUGAGCAGGUCUUUAUGUUAUAACUGGUUUAUAUUAAAGAAUAAAGAUAUUACGAGUUGGAGUUGGUGUAGUUUUACCAUCUCUGACUCCAACUCCAGAUACGCCUUAAUUGUUUCUGACUGACUCCACAGCCCUGGUGCUAAAACACAUUCGAGUUGCUGUGUUGCUUCUGCUAAAUAUCAAUAAUAUAUAUAUAUAUAUAUAUAUAUAUCAUUUAACACCCACUUUCCAUGCAAUAUAUAUGUGAUUAUAACCAAGGAGAAUGGAGUGAGAGAGAACUUUUUUAUUUCAUUGCUUUACAAUUGUUUCCUCAAACAUCAAUCUCGUGUGCAUUGCUAUAUUAUUCAACAAUACAUGCAGCCGUUAAUACAUGUGGUGUUCUUGAUACAUUAUCAAAGACUGAUUCUGAUGAAUCAUACGAAAAGGUUAUUUAAUAGGGAACUCCUGGAUUAACACCCAAAUGGAAUAAUAAUAAUAAUAAUAAUAAUAAUAAUAAUAAUGUCUUAACUGGUACAUCACACAUAUUGAGAAGAGCAUUGUCGAUGUGAGAACUGUUGCUGCUCAUGUAUUUUAAUUUAACUUAAAAAAAAAAAAAUAAAAAAAAAAAAUGAACGAACUACUGAGUUUGGUUUAAUGGCCUACCAUUGUAUACUAUGAGUUUCUUUGCCCUAGGAGUCGGGAAGACACUCGGCAAGAAAUGGAAGCAAAUUUGAAAGAAGAAAAAAAAAAGUAAUAAUAAUAAUAAUAUCUAUAUAAAGGUAGAAUGACAGAUAAACACUGGUAGGCUUCAAUUGUUUGUUUACAUGGUGUAUGAAAUACAGAUUACAGAAUAAAGACAAAAGGAAUUAUGCAGAGUCUUAUAUGGGCAGUUGUUUUGGGACAUAGCUUGUGUAAUAACCACAUUCAUUCAUAAUAUGUGCAUGAUGUCAGGUGUGUGGCACACCUGAAGUUCCAAAAAGUAUUAAGGCAAGUAAAGUGACUCUCCCCAAGACAAAGAUGGCAAAUACAAACAUAUGUGUAGACAGACAGAUAGGUAUGUGUAUAGGUAUGUAUGUAUAUGUGUGUAGAUAGGUAUGUAUGUAUAUGUGUAGGUAGGUAGGUAUGUACUAGGGCUAGGCAAAAUAAAGGAAACGCCUUGUUUAAUGGAAGUUGUAGUCUUUAAUAAGGAAUUGGUCUAACUUUGGCAUUAAUCUCACUUUGAUAAUUUGAAGAAUUUGACUUCAACAUGUUCUGAAUAGUUGUUAGGGGAAUUUUGUGCAAUUCUUUGAAUAAAACCUGCUUCAGUUCAUUCAGUGUUGGUGAUAGAGAGAAAGAACUCCUCUCUUGCUGUUCCAAAUGUACCGUAAAUGUUCAAUUAUUUUGAGAUCCAGUGAUUGUGGAGGCCAAUCCAAGACCUUCACUUCCUUCCCCCAUCCAUCCCUCCCUCCCUUUUUCUCCCUUAUUUCUUUUUUUUCUCUUUUCUCUUAUGUUGUCUCAUGGUUAGUUUCUUUUUCCAUGAGACAUUCACAUGUUGGUCUUCAUCAGCCACAUGUGAUCCCAACCAACUAUGUGGUCUUAAUCAACCAUGCGUGUUUUUAAUCUUCUACAUGUGUUUUUAAUCAACUACAUGUGUUUCUAAUUAGCUACUUGCCUCUAAUCAACUACAUAUGUUUCUAAUUAGCUACAUGUGUUCCUAAUCAGUUUCAUGUGAUCCUAAUCAACUGUAUGUGUUUCUAACUGACUUCAUGUGAUCCUAACGGACUACAUUUCACCUUAAUCAUCUACAUGGGAUUUUAAUCCUCUACCUGUUGUUUCUGCCAGGAAGUAAACCUAGAGGACGGAAGGUGGGGGAGGGAAACUAUCUCCAAGACAAAUAUCUGUGGUUAACGAAGAAGGAAAAUAAUAAAGAAUGCUAUCUAAUUAAUUAAUUAAUGGAUUAAGGUGGUGAGCUGGCAGAAUUGUUAGCAUGCCAGGUAAACUGCUUGGUGGCAUUCCGUCCGUUUGUAUGUUCAGAGUUCAAAUUCCACAGAGGUCAGCUUUGUCUUUUGUCCUUUAUGGGGAUUGAUAAAAUAAGUACCAGUUGAAUACUGGGGUUGACGUAAUCAACUUAGCCCCUUCCUCUGAAAUUGCUGGCCUUGUGCCAAAAUUUUAAACCUAUUAACGGAGUCAAUGUAUGGCAGCUUGAUCUAUUAGAAAUAGCAACUAAAUUGUCCUCAAAUCACAUCCUUUCAUCUUAAAAGAUAAGACACAUUAGAUAAUGUAAUCCGAGAUACACUGUACUUAAAGAAAAGAGUGGAUGACCAAGGCUAACUUAAAGAUUAACCCAUUAACUCCCAGAGUACUUAAAUUUCUGAAUAUUACUUUUAAAUUUUUACAGAUGAUUGAAAAUAGGUUAAAAUGUAAAAAAUAAUCAUUAAAACUCCUUUACUUCAAGUAGAAAUGGAAAUACUCGGUGUCCUAUAAAUAGGACACUGAGACAAUGUGAUAUAGCUUAUUUAAGGUUCUCAUCUAGUGUCCUAUUUAUAGGACAGUAGGACUUAAUGGGUUAAGCAAAAUAGCAGCUGAUAUUUGAUUAAAUAACAUAUCUGAAGAUAGACAGGAAUGAGGGAAGCGGUUUAUAUUUACAAAUUUAUAGUUUUUGUUCAGCCCUAAGAUUAGAGCUAUGAUCAGACAUUCCAGCCAUGAUCAACUCAUUUUUUUGCUUAUUUGUAAUAUCUCCGACUAUAUUGACCAAUAUCUCCAAACUUUUAAAACAGUGUAGGAUGCAAUGUGAUUUUUAAAAGAAUGUUGUUGCUAUUUCUAACUGGUCAAACGGUCAUGUAGAAGCUUUAUUAUUGGCUCAAAAUCUUAUGAUGUCAAUUCUAGGUUAGAUAGUUCCUGCUCAGUGGCGCCUCCAUGGCGGUGAUGCGGUGGUGUUUCAAUAGCUGUCUGUUGAUUGGUGUUUUCUUCAUAAAGACUAGAUUUUUAAACUUCAAAGAUGUAUGUGCUGAAGAUUUACCAUCUUGUGGUUUGAAAUAGGAGAAUAUGGAGAACAGAAGAAAACGAAGAAAUACUCAAACCAUUUGUUUACUAAUAAGAUUUCUGAUAGCUUCCACAUACCACACCCUUCUUUAUGUUCUACAUCCUGUUCUUAUGUAAGAUAAAUUGAUUAUUUUUAAAAAUAAUUUUAUUUAUCAUACCUCAUUCUUACGAAGGUUAAAUGGCUCAAAUAUGCCACCUGUCUUGCGAUAGAAUAAAUAGUCAAGCAGCAGCGUUUCUUUGCCAUUCCCAGGCUCUGUGGCCAGUUAGGAAUAUUUAUUUACCACACUCUAUCUUAAAUAGUUAAGUUAGUGUUAACAUAUUUAAAGCAGAGAGUAAUGAAAGAAAACAAAACUAACGAGGGGUAAUUACACGGUGAGACAUUAUAUAUGAAAAGAGGAAGGCACGUGGCCUAGUGGUUAGGAUGUUGCACUGACAAUUGCCAGACUGCGAGUUCAAUUCCCAUACUGGACAGCACAUUGUGUUCUUGAGCAAAACGCUUCAUUUCUCAUUGCUCUGCAGGUGGGAGAGUAGCAGAAUCAUUGGUGCAUCGGCAGAGGUGCUUUACAGUAUAUCUUCCAGUUCUCUGUGUUCUAAGUUCAAAUCCUACCUGCCUGGAGAAGGCAACGGGAAACCAUUCCAGUAUUCAUCUCAAGUCUAGUCAUGUUUAGCCGAAGUUCCAAACAGCAGCAGAGUGGAGGCGCAAUGGCCCAGUGGUUAGGGUAACGGACCCAUGGUCUUAAGAAUGAGGUUUCGAUUCCCAGACUGGGCAUUGUGAGUGUUUAUUGAGCAAAAACACCUAAGCUCCAUGAGGCUCCAGCGGGGGUGGGGGUGGAGUGAAGGGGGGUGAACCCCCACUGUACUCUUUCACCACAACUUUCUCUCUUUCUUCCUACUUCUGCCCCAAAGCAGAGGAACCCUGGUGUAACCCACUAUGGUGUGGUAAACUUUCAGACCCUAGUCUAGAUUGUGAAUCCUCUGUACCCCAGGAUUGUUCAGCUCUCCACCCGUUAAAAGCCACCGUUUACGGAAUGAGGAUAACAACACAGCUUUCAUGCCCGUGCAACCGCCAGUCUAUCGUGUGUGGUGGGUGGAUCUUCAAGUUGCCACACGCAUUCUUAGUGGCUUAGAGUAGGCUCGAAUUAGAGAUUAUUCUUUGUGGCUAAUGGCGUGAGUCCUGAGUGGAAGAAGAAGAACAGCAGCAGAGGAGGAUACAAGUCCUUGUAGGUCAUAUAGGGAGUGCUGGAGAAGGUUCACAUGCACAGGACCUGCCCAAGGGAAUUAAACUCGUGAUCUGGCAAUCGUAAUUGCAACACCCUGACCACCAGACCACACACUUUGCACUUCUAUGUAUAAUGUCUUACCACAGACUAGACCAGAUAUAUAUAUGGGUGGGUGGGUGUAUGUGUGCAUGGUGGGGAAUAGACUGUUUAAUAAAGGUUCAUGUAUAUUUUUUUUUAUACAGAGUGCAGUAAGGGCUGACCUAGAAAUAAUUAUAUUGGGAGACAGCUUGAUGGUCAUCAUUGUUGUUUCAAGCCCAGUUUUCCAUGCUUGCAUGGCUCAGAGGGAAUCUGUUUAAGUGGAUUUUCUAGAACUGUACAAUGCUGUCUGUCUGUCUGUCUGUCUCAAUCCACAACUGUUCCCAAGCAAGUAAAUAAUUCUCCAUGGCCAGAAAUGUUUUCCAUGGACUUCGCUGAACUUGUAAACCCCUUUCAUUACCAACCUGUCUGAAACCGGUUCUGGCUCUGAGUACAAAUGUCUUGUUUUCAUAUGUUUUGAAUUAAAAUCUUCCACCAAACCUUAGUCUCAAUUUCUGUUCCUAACACUACUUGAAUGAUAACUAAGUUAUUUUACUAAAUUCUUUGUUAUAUUUAAAGUAAUUUAAAGAAACACAGAGCAGGAGUGGUUGUGUGGUAAGUAGCUUGCUUACCAACCACAUGGUUCCGGAUUCAGUCCCACUGCGUGGCAUCUUGGGCAAGUGUCCUCUACUAUAGCCUCGGGCCGACCAAUGCCUUGUGAGUGGAUUUGGUAGACGGAAACUGAAAGAAGCCUGUCGUAUAUAUGUAUAUAUAUAUGUAUGUGUGUGUAUAUGUUUGUGUGUCUGUGUUUGUCCCUCUAGCAUUGGUGUGUUUAUGUCCCCGUCAUUUAGUGUUUCGGCAAAAGAGACCGAUAGAAUAAGUACUGGGCUUACAAAGAAUAAGUCCCGGGGUCGAUUUGCUCAACUAAAGGCGGUGCUCCAGCAUGGCCGCAGUCAAAUGACUGAAACAAGUAAAAGAGUAAAAGAGAGAGAGCAUCUCAAAAUAAAUACAGUAACGAAAGGGUUAAAGUAGUGAUGGCAGAAUCUCUAAGUCAAUGUACAAAAUUUUAUAUGAUUUGGAUUUUACUCUCAAGAGUAAUGUUCAUUUAUUCUCUCUCUUUCAAACACACACACACACGUGUUUUGAAUUAAUCAAAUUUUAUCUCAGGUUUGAGAUUUUCGAUGAUGUGAUUGUUAAUUUUCAGAAUGACAUUGUCAGGUAGGUGUGAGAGGCCAGAUCCGGUCAGUUUGAACGUAAAACGGGUGGAGUAUUUUGGGCUGGAUUUGGCUGUAGGGUUACGGCAUCUGAUUGCGGGUCCCUAUUUUGGGGGUUGCGGAGUUUUGAGAAAUAUGAAACCACGUUUUGGCCCCUAUUGUUCCCAGCUCUAAUCUGACCGUUAGUAGCACCUGCCAGGGCCAUAAUUCUGUUUAUAUAGCAGGUAACCACCCAACCCAGGGUACAUUGAAAUCAUGAGAUGCAACAUGAUGGAUGUGAACUAUUUUGGCAGAUGAACUUCUUGAAUCAAUGGUGAAUGUCCCUAGAUCUGUGGUUCUCAACCUACUGACCCCUUUUUGUUUCUAUUUUGCUCUGCUGGACCUUCAUAACCAUUUGAUGUUUAAAACAAAUUCUGCAAUAUUUUUAUAAUUAAACUAGCAGUAUUGCUCGGGUUUGUUUUGACCCUUUAGAAUUGGAAUUUUUGAAAAUGUAGCUUGUUAUUCUCUUUAAGUGAACAUUUUUCUGGUUGAAAUACACCAAAAAAUGGCGACACAGCAGUAAAAAAAUUGUAAAAAAUUGGGAAUUUCAUAGAAAAAAAGCACCUUUUUGAUGUAAAUAAUUUUUGGUGUUAACAUGGUCUGAUUUGAAUUUUUUCUUCUAAUGAAGGAAGAGCAAGCCUUCUUCUAUCAUACUCUCAAUUUUGGUCAAGUUGCGCCACAGAGUCUCGGAGGAGAUAGUGUUAGUUGAAGGCUACCAAACCUGCCAUACACAGACAACUUCAGCUUUACAUAUAUAGAGAUAUUAUCAAGAAAUGUAUAACAAGAAUUGUUAAAAUAAAAUAUUUGUAUUGUAAAAGUCUAAACAAUUUAAUGGAGAUUAAUUUUAACAGAAGAGUCUUAAGUGGACCCUCAUUUAAGUGCUGCUGCACCAGAUGCUGAGUGGAUGAACAGGCAAGAAACUGUCAACAGCCAGGAUGAAUGAGUUCAGUUAUCAAGCUUCUGCUAUCAUCUGUAGUCACGGCUUUCACAGAUAAGAUAUUCCAGCUCGCAAAAGACCAACGUGAAUAAAUCCCAAGCCAGACAUUCCUGCUGCAUUGGUUGAUUGGGCCACCUGGCGAGGAAGAGUUGCAUUGGUCUGGGAAAGUCUUUUGACUGGAUGGUCAUCAAUGAUGGUGUAGAAAAACAGAAUUAUUUAGAGCAUUAGACUACGACUCAGUGGUGCUGUUGGCAUGGAAAAUAAUAGCUAAGUUAGUGUUAAUAUAAUUAAUGUGGAGAGCAUUUGAGAAAGCUAGCUUGAUAUAUAUAUUUCACUGUAUUUAUUUAUUCAUGUGAAGUGCAAGGAAUGUAAUACAAAGUAGUAUUGUAUGUGACCUUGUGCCUAUAGCAGAAGGGGUCGAGUUGGUAGGAGUGUUAGCACAUCAGACAGAAUGCUUAGCAGGGUUUUGUGUGUGUCUUUACGUUUUGAGUUCAAAUGCUGCUGGGGUCGAUUUUUGCAUUUCAUCAUUUCAAGGUCGAAAACAUAAGUACCAAUUGAACAUUGGGGGUCAAUGUAACUAAUCUAUCCCCUCCCCUCGAAUUGCAGACCUUGUGCCAAAAUUUGAAACCAUUGUUAUUGUGCAGGUGGUGAGCUGGCAGAAUCGUUAGCAUGCCAGAUAAAAUGCUUAGCAGUACUUUGUUCAUCUUCAUGUUCUGAGUUCAAAUUCUGCCGAGGUCAACUUUGCCGUUCAUUUUUUUUGGUGUCGAUAAAUUAAGUACCAGUGAAACACUGGGGUUGAUGUAAUCGACUAGUGCCCUCCCCCUAAAAUUUCAGGCCUUGUGCCUUUAAUAAAAAGGAUUAUUAUUAUUGUUAUUAUUAUUACAAAGCGCAGGAGUGGCUGUGUGGUAAGUAGCUUGCUUACCAACCACAUGGUUCCGGGUUCAGUCCCACUGCGUGGCAUCUUGGGCAAGUGUCUUCUACUAUAGCCCCGGGCCGACUAAUGCCUUGUGAGUGGAUUUGGUAGGCGGAAACUGAAAUAAGCCUGUCGUAUAUAUGUAUAUAUGUAUAUAUAUAUGUGUGUGCGUGUAUGUUUGUGUGUCUGUAUUUGUCCCCCUAGCAUUGCUUGACAACUGAUGCUGGUGUGUUUACGUCCCUGUCACUUAGCGGUUCGGCAAAAGAGACCGAUAGAAUAAGUACUGGGCUUACAAAGAAUAAGUCCCGGGGUCGAUUUGCUUGACUAAAGGCGGUGCUCCAGCAUGGCCACAGUCAAAUGACUGAAACAAGUAAAAGAGUAAAAGUAUUAUUAUUAUUAUUAUGUUUGACUUUUGCUUUGUAUUUGUACAAGUUGACUCCAAGUCUAACCCAGAGACCUCAAGAGACUACAAGUUAGAAGUUCAAGUUGGUGUUAUGCAUAGCAUGCCAUAUACUUGGUUUUACACAAAGUAUUGUUCUAGAGAAUGUUUAAGAAAACAUAACAAAAUUGUUUGUUUUAAAAUUUGAGAUUACAUAGACAGUAUUUCAUGUAGGAUAUGGUCAGUUCCCCAUGAGCUCUAUCUUUUGAAUUUCUGCCAUUUUGGAGUUUCCUAGUAUCUGAGCUAGUUAGAAAUCAGCUCCUUUUGUUAUCAUUCCUAGGGCACCUAUUAUUAUUAUUACUAUUAUUAUUAUUAAAAACAUGUUUUUCUGAUACUGAACAUGACUUGAUGUAAUUUGCAAAAUUCUGUAGUUGCUUAAUCCCAAGUCAUCACUGAUCAAAUGCACUUAUGAUUAAAGUUUUCCAGCCUUGGUCCAUACUCCUUCUUUUCUGUCAGUGUGUCCAGUGUGUCUCCCCUGUUCCAUGUAGAGAGGAUUACAAUUAUUUUUCUUGUGGAGUGUAAACCUGACGGACCUGUUUCAAGGAUACAUGCGUGACACUGAGUCUAUUUGGUUCCCACACAGUAAAGGGUAAUGAAAUCGUUCUUCCAUCAAGAUGUCUUGCUAUACUUUCUUGGAGACACACAAGAUGCUAAUAUUGGAUAUAAGCAUUUACAAAAAUGCUUUUCCUGUUGCCAACCCUUUGCCUGUUUCCAAGCUAUAUAAUAUUUCCACAUGGACAGAUGUGUUGUUGGAACCGUAGGACAUUGCUCGUGAGAUGGUGGUACUCACAGCUAUCACAAGAUGACAAAGGAAGAAAACAGUAUCACACACACCACACCCACCCUCACAUCCCCACCCCACCCCCACACUCAUGCACACACCACCACCACCACCACCACACUCACGCACACACCACCAUCACACUCACGCGCACGCCAGCACCACACUCGUGCAUGCUCACCACCCCCAGAUGCCCACACUCCACAUGCACUCCCACCCCACCCCACACUCACACACACAUCACCACCACCAUCACACUCGCACACACACCACCAUCACACUCGCACACACACCACCAUCACACUCGUGUGCACACCACCACCACAAUUGCGAGCACGCCACCAUCACACUCGUGCGCGCUCACCACCACCACCACGGCACUUGCCCCCCCCCCCCCCCCCCGAUGCCCACACUCCACAUGCACUCCCACCCCACCCCACACUCACGCACACACACACCACCAUCACACUCGCACACACACCACCAUCACACUUGCGAGCACGCCACCAUCACACUCGUGCGCGCUCACCACCACCACGGCACUCGCCACCCCCACCCCCUUAGAUGCCCACACUCCACAUGCACCACCACCACCCCACACACACACAAGAGUUUCUUUAAGUUUCACAAGUCACUUACCCAAGGUACCACGCGGUGGGACCGAACUCGAAACCACGUGGUUAGCAAGCAGGUUUCUUUUUCCCGACAGCCACACCUGCCGCCUAUCAUCGUUAAGCACCGGCAUUUGUUUCAACCACUUAACAAAUGGCUCAGGUUCUGUCUUCUUGUCUCAUACACCAUUGCAGUGCAACAGCAAUGAAUUCUUAAUUCUCUUGUUCAGCAGCCGACGGAACCAUGCACGGCGAGUCUCUAAGUGCAGACUUCUUGUAUGGUUUGCACUCGCUUUUAUAUUUGACACUUGAUGAAACAGCAGUACAUGUAGUAGCGUGAGACGAGCUAUAAUUUCUUCGAGACUCACUCACAUUAUCUUGUAGUAAGUGCAGUAUUGUUGGCUUCAGUCAAAUGAUAAAAUAAAUUCUAAAUAUUACGAUGUACUUGCAUAGCAAGUGACCUGAGCUGAGAUCGUGUGCUGGAACAAAAAUGUAGUAGCGUGAGACAAGCUAUAAUUUCUUCAAGACUCACUCACAUUAUCUUGUAGUAAGUGCAGUAUUGUUGGCUUCAGUCAAAUGAUAAAAUAAAUUCUAAAUAUUAUGAUGUACUUGCAUAGCAAGUGACCUGAGCUGAGAUCGUGUGCUGGAACAAAAAUGUAGUAGCGUGAGACAAGCUAUAAUUUCUUCAAGACUCACUCACAUUAUCUUGUAGUAAGUGCAGUAUUGUUGGCUUCAGUCAAAUGAUAAAAUAAAUUCUAAAUAUUACGAUGUACUUGCAUACCAAGUGACCUGAGCUGAGAUCGUGUGCUGGAACAAAAAUGUAGUAGCGUGAGACAAGCUAUAAUUUCUUCGAGACUCACUCACAUUAUCUUGUAGUAAGUGCAGUAUUGUUGGCUUCAGUCAAAUGAUAAAAUAAAUUCUAAAUAUUACGAUGUACUUGCAUAGCAAGUGACCUGAGCUGAGAUCGUGUGCUGGAACAAAAAUGUAGUAGCGUGAGACAAGCUAUAAGUUCUUCAAGACUCACUCACAUUAUCUUGUAGUAAGUGCAGUAUUGUUGGCUUCAGUCAAAUGAUAAAAUAAAUUCUAAAUAUUACGAUGUACUUGCAUAGCAAGUGACCUGAGCUGAGAUCGUGUGCUGGAACAAAAAUGUAGUAGCGUGAGACAAGCUAUAAGUUCUUCAAGACUCACUCACAUUAUCUUGUAGUAAGUGCAGUAUUGUUGGCUUCAGUCAAAUGAUAAAAUAAAUUCUAAAUAUUACGAUGUACUUGCAUAGCAAGUGACCUGAGCUGAGAUCGUGUGCUGGAACAAAAAUGUAGUAGCGUGAGACAAGCUAUAAUUUCUUCAAGACUCACUCACAUUAUCUUGUAGUAAGUGCAGUAUUGUUGGCUUCAGUCAAAUGAUAAAAUAAAUUCUAAAUAUUACGAUGUACUUGCAUAGCAAGUGACCUGAGCUGAGAUCGUGUGCUGGAACAAAAAUGUAGUAGCGUGAGACGAGCUAUAAUUUCUUCAAGACUCACUCACAUUAUCUUGUAGUAAGUGCUGUAGUGUUGGCUUCAGUCAAAUGAUAAAAUAAAUUCUAAAUAUUACGAUGUACUUGCAUAGCAAGUGACCUGAGCUGAGAUCGUGUGCUGGAACAAAAAUGUAGUAGCGUGAGACAAGCUAUAAGUUCUUCAAGACUCACUCACAUUAUCUUGUAGUAAGUGCAGUAUUGUUGGCUUCAGUCAAAUGAUAAAAUAAAUUCUAAAUAUUACGAUGUACUUGCAUAGCAAGUGACCUGAGCUGAGAUCGUGUGCUGGAACAAAAAUGUAGUAGCGUGAGACGAGCUAUAAGUUCUUCGAGACUCACUCACAUUAUCUUGUAGUAAGUGCAGUAUUGUUGGCUUCAGUCAAAUGAUAAAAUAAAUUCUAAAUAUUACGAUGUACUUGCAUAGCAAGUGACCUGAGCUGAGAUCGUGUGCUGGAACAAAAAUGUAGUAGCGUGAGACGAGCUAUAAUUUCUUCGAGACUCACUCACAUUAUCUUGUAGUAAGUGCAGUAUUGUUGGCUUCAGUCAAAUGAUAAAAUAAAUUCUAAAUAUUACGAUGUACUUGCAUAGCAAGUGACCUGAGCUGAGAUCGUGUGCUGGAACAAAAAUGUAGUAGCGUGAGACGAGCUAUAAUUUCUUCGAGACUCACUCACAUUAUCUUGUAGUAAGUGCAGUAUUGUUGGCUUCAGUCAAAUGAUAAAAUAAAUUCUAAAUAUUACGAUGUACUUGCAUAGCAAGUGACCUGAGCUGAGAUCGUGUGCUGGAACAAAAAUGUAGUAGCGUGAGACAAGCUAUAAUUUCUUCAAGACUCACUCACAUUAUCUUGUAGUAAGUGCAGUAUUGUUGGCUUCAGUCAAAUGAUAAAAUAAAUUCUAAAUAUUACGAUGUACUUGCAUAGCAAGUGACCUGACCUGAGAUCGUGUGCUGGAACAAAAAUGUAGUAGCGUGAGACAAGCUAUAAUUUCUUCAAGACUCACUCACAUUAUCUUGUAGUAAGUGCAGUAUUGUUGGCUUCAGUCAAAUGAUAAAAUAAAUUCUAAAUAUUACGAUGUACUUGCAUAGCAAGUGACCUGAGCUGAGAUCGUGUGCUGGAACAAAAAUGUAGUAGCGUGAGACGAGCUAUAAGUUCUUCGAGACUCACUCACAUUAUCUUGUAGUAAGUGCAGUAUUGUUGGCUUCAGUCAAAUGAUAAAAUAAAUUCUAAAUAUUACGAUGUACUUGCAUAGCAAGUGACCUGACCUAAGAUCGUGUGCUGGAACGAAAACAAUUGCAGCGUGGAAGGUGUUUAUAAGCCAUUUAAGAAACACACAAAAACCGUUAGAUUCACUUCAACAUUUAAAUUUAAUUUGUGUCAAAAUAUUUUCGUCGCUUUGAGACUGCGACCCGUUCACUGACAAAACUUCGUUCUGCAUUCUAAAUUCUAAAUAAAUCAGCCGAAAUUCAAACAAUUCAGAGCAUAGACAUUUAUUUUGUUUUAUCUAAAGAAUUUCUUUCUAACCAUUUAGCAUUUUGGUUACUCAGUCAAAGGUAAUUCCUAUUUACUCUUUACUCUUUUACUUGUUUCAGUCAUUUGACUGCGGCCAUGCUGGAGCACCGCCUUUAGUCGAGCAAAUCGACUCUGGGACUUAUUCUUUGUAAGCCCAGUACUUAUUCUAUCGGUCUCUUUUGCCGAACCGCUAAGUGACGGGGACGUAAACACACCAGCAUCGGUUGUCAAGCAAUGCUAGGGGGACAAAUACAGACACACAAACACAUACACAUACAUACAUAUACAUAUAUACGACAGGCUUCUUUCAGUUUCCGUCUACCAAAUCCACUCACAAGGCUUUGGUCGGCCCGGGGCUAUAGCAGAAGACACUUGCCCAAGGUGCCACUCAGUGGGACUGAACCUGGAACCAUGUGGUUGGUAAAUAAGCUACUUACCACACAGCCACUCAUGCGCCAAUUUAUUCAUAUUGUUUGAAUGUAUUACAUGUAAACUCGUAGCUUUGCAAUGUCAAUGAUGUGAUUGAUUAUUUUUAUGAUGACAUUGUAGGAUAGGUGUGAGAGGCCUUGGCCAGAAAUGGCCAUCCCCCAAAAUACAAAGUGGCCAGCGGGCAGAAUUGUGAGUACACUGAACGAAAUGCUUUGUGGUAUUUCUUCUGGCUUUUCAUUCUGUGUUCAAAUUCUACCGAGGUCCUUUCAGCCUUUAGGGGUCAGUAAGAACUAGUUGAACACUGGGGUCAGUGUAAUCAACUUGCUCUUGACCCUAAAUUUCAGGUUCUGUGCCUCUUGUAGAAAGAAUCUGUAAUCUUUUCUCUUUCACUUGUUUCAGGCAUUGGACUGUGGCCAUGCUGGGGCACUGUCUUGAGAAAUUUUAGCUGAAUAAUUCAAACCCAGUAGUUAUUUUUUUAAAGCUUAGUAUUUAUUCUAUCAGUCUCUUUUGCCAAACUGUUAAGUUAUGGGGAUGUAAACAUACCAACAUUGCUUUUCAAACUGUGGUGGGAAACACACAGGCGCACACACUUACACACGCACACACUUAUACACACACACGCACACAUUUAUACACACACACGCACUUAUACACACACACGCACUUAUACACACACAUGCACGCACUUAUACACACACACGCACUUAUACACACACACACACUUAUACACACACACAUGCACUUAUACACACACACGCACUUAUACACACACAUGCACUUACACACACGCACUUAUACACACACAUGCACUUACACACACGCACUUAUACACACACAUGCACUUACACACACGCACUUAUACACACACAUGCACUUAUACAAACGCGCACAUAUACAUGCACACAUGCACUUUUACACAUGCACUUAUGCACACACACACACACAAACAUGCAUUUACACACACACAUGCAUUUACAUGCACACACACACACACAUAUAUAUAUAUAUGAUGCAUUUCUUUCCGUUUCCAUCUAUGAAAUUGACUCAUAACACUUUGCUCAACCCAAGGAGGCAUUCGCCCAAGCUGCCACACAUUGGGACUGAACCCAGAACCACAUGGUUUGAGGCAAGCUUCUUACCAUACAGUCGCACCCUUAUCCCCUCCAGUGGCUGACACAUUAAGGCAUCAGAAAAAAAAAGGGCUUGGUGAUAUUUCCUUAUAGGGCAGGGAGUGGGUGUCUGUUGUGUCCUUCCUCCCUCCUACCAGGGUCCAUUAAGAAUAAAAUACCAGUUAAAUACUGGUGGAGAUUUAAUGGGUCAUGCUUCUCCUUCCCCUCUUUGCAAAAAAAAACAAAAACUAAAAAAAAACCCAAAAUUACGACCUUGUGCCAAUAUUAGAAUUUUUUAUAGAAAAAAAGAAAUGCAAAAUAAAAGAAAAUAAAUAACUAAAACAAUUUCAUGGAUGUAUUCUAGAUAUUCUUUAGUCUUGUUUCGGCCAUGCUGGGGCACCGCCUUUAGUCGAGCAAAUCGAUCCCACGACUUAUGCUUUGUAAGCCUAGUACUUGUUCUAUUGGUCUCUUUUGCUGAACUGCUAAAUUACAGGGACAUAAGCAUACCAGCAUUGGUUGUCAAGCAAUGUUGGGACGCAUACACACACACACACAUACACACGCAUACAUAUGCAUGCACAGCAGUGAAACGUGCUGUGACUGUGGAGGACAUGUGUAGGCUCGAAAGAAAUGAAGCUAGCAUGAUCCACUGGAUGUGUAAUGUCAGUGUGCACGCAUGACAGAGUGCCCUGAGAGAAAUGUUGGACAUAAGAAGCAUCAGAUGUGGCAUGCAGGAGAGACGCCUGCGUUGGUAUGGUCAUGUGCUAUGGAUGGAUGAGGAGAGAUGUAUGAAGAAGUGCCACCCUCAAACAGUUAAAGGAAUCUGGGGUAGAGGUAGACCCAGGAAGACAUGGGAUGAGGUGGUCAAGCAUGACCUUCGAACGUUGGGCCUCACAAAGGCAAUGACAAAAGAUCGAAACUUCUGGAGAUAUGCUGUGACUGCAAAGACCCGACAAAUGAAGUGAGUUCACGGCUCGAAGGACAGCCUGCUGUGAUUACUUUGGAUCGUAGGGUGACCUACUGUGCUUGAGGAGACCUUUUGAGUCAAGUACAUCAACGCAGAAUAAAAAUCAAAUGUAAAUUGUAGUUGUGAUACCCGUGCUGGUGGCACAUAAAAAAAAAACAUUCAAACAUGGCCGAUGCCAGUGCCGCCUUGACUGGCGUCCAUGCCAGUGGCAUGUAAAAAGCACCCACUAUACUCACAGAGUGGUUGGUGUUAAGAAGGUCAUCCCAUCCAGCUGUAGAAACACUGCCAGAUCAGACUGGAGCCUGGUGCAGCCUCCUGGCUUCCCAGACACCGGUCGAACCGUCCAACCCAUGCCAGCAUGGAAAAUGGACGUUAUGAUGAUGAUGAUGAUGAUGGGCUUCUUUCAGUUUCCGUCUACCAAAUUCUACACACAAGGCUUUGGUCGGCCUAAGGUUAUAGUAGAAGACACUUGCCCAUGUGGGACUGAACCUGGAACCAUAUGGUUGGUAAGCAAGCUACUUACCACACAGCCACUACUGUGCAGUAAGUUUGCUUCCUAACCACAUGGUUCUGGGUUCAGUCCCACUGCAUGGUACCAUGGGCAAGUGUCUUCUACUAUAGCCUUGAGCCAACCAAAGCUUUGGGUCUGGUGGAGGGAAACUUAAAACAAAACAAAAAAAAAACCUAUCAUGUGUGUGUGUGUGUGUGUAUGUAUAUGUAUUUGUGUGUGUGUUUGUUCCCCACCCCCGCUUCACAACUGGUAUUGGUGUGUUUACAGUCACAUAACUUAGCAGUUUGGCAAAAGAGGCUUACAAAAAAAGAAAAAGUAAAAAAGGUAAUUAGUUCUGGGAUUGAUUUGUUUGGUUAAAAUUCUUCCAGGCGGUGCCCCAGCAUGGCCCGCAGUCUAAUAACUGAAGCAAGUAAAAGAAUAUCAUAACCUUCUAAUCUAUGUUCGGACAGAAUGGAAAAACAAACAUCGAAAAGAAAACAAACCAAGCAAACCAAAAAAAAGAAAAAACACAAAAAAAAACAAAAAAAAAAAAAGAGAAAAUGUAAUAAAAAAAAAAUGAGAGAAAAAGCAAAAAAAAAAAGCAAUCUAGUUUUUAUCCAUGUGAACACUUGCAGCCCUAAUCUAGCUUGUUGUUGCCCUCGUUUUGAUGUUAGAUGUUUAUAAGAUUGUAUUUAUCUUGUCUGUUACUAUUUCCUGCCAUGCAACAACUGCCAGACUUUCUUAAUUCCUGUGUCUGUGUUUUGUAAACCUUGAUAAAAACUACUGUUGCUGCUGCCACCCAAACCAAACCACCACCACCACCACCACCGCUGCUAAUGCCACCACCACCACCACCACUGCUAAUGCCACCAUCAGUACUGUUACCACCACCGUAGGAAUCACUGCAACCAAUACCAUCAACUGUUGCUGCUGCCACCAAUAUCACUACCACCAUCACCACCAACGCCACCACCAUCAUCACUACAACUACUGCCAACAUCACCACCACCACCACCAUCACUACCACCACCACCAUCACUACCACUGCCACCAUCAACACCACCACCACCAUCAUCACUACAACUACUGCCAACAUCACUACCACCACCACCAACAUCAUCAGUACCACCGCCGCCACCACCAACACCACCACCACCACCAUCAUCACUACAACUACUGCCAACAUCACCACUACCACCGCCACCACCAACCACCACCACCAUCACCACCACCACCACCACCACACCACCAUCAUCACUACAACUACUGCCAACAUCACCACUACCACCGCCACCACCAACACCACCACCAUCACCACCCACCACCACCACCAACAUCAUCACCACCACCACCAUCAUCACUACAACCACUGCCAACAUCACCACCACCCUCACCAUCACCACCACCACCACCACCACCGCAAUUAUAAUUACCACUGCUAUCAUGAUUAUUUCCACCACCAUCAUGACCACUGCUGUUGCUACCAUCUUCCCUUACUGCUUCAAGUCAUCUUUCUCUUUCUCCCCCCCCCACCACCCGUUCUACUUUUAUCUCUCAACUUCCCCCCCUCAUCCAUCCUUUCACCUGUUAUGCUACUGUUUCUCUUUCUCUCUCACUCUGCUUCUCUCUUUCAUGCUCUCCCCCCUCUCUCUCUCUCACCCUACCACUCACCUCCCCCUCUUGUUACCUCUCACCGUUUUCCUCUCUUCCAUACCUCUACACCAAAUUCAUUUACCUCAGAGUGGAUGCAGAUAUUUAUUAGGUACAAAUCCUUAUAUUUUACGCAAACCGUAUUCGAAGGCUAUACAAGGUCUGAUUAAAAAGUGUCGGGCACUGGUGCUAUAAAAAGAAAGCUGUUUGGUGUUUAGCCCCCUUCUCGUGUAGCCCCCUUCUGAAGCCACACAACUUAUCCAGUGUUGUUUCCUAUGGAAGGAAGUAUUCCUGGAAUCCCUAUUUCGGAAUAGUUGAAUAGCUACCUCGUCACGUUCUUUUGGAUUUCUUCGGCGCUUUGAAAUCUUUUUCCUUUCAAAUAGGAUUUGAUUUUUGACUUGAUUUUGGGGGUCAAAGCCUCAGACUCACAAUUCAUCACCAUUUUCGAAAACCUUUCAUUUUCCUAGACACGGCCAAGGAGAUCUUUUCGAGAUGACCGCACUCUACACAUUUCAAUUCCAAGCACUGCUAUAAACAACGGAAGUGAGCAAGAAUGUUGUGACUUAGUGUGCUGAUGCGACAGAGUUCAAGGUCAGCCUUUGCCAAGCGGAUUCAUGUGGAGGCCCACGGCCUAGUGGUUAGAGCAGCGGACUCGCGAUUGAGGGAUCGCGGGUUCGAAUCUCAGACCUAAAGUGAGCAAGAAUGUUGUGACUUAGUGUGCAGAUGCGACAGAGUUCAAGGUCAGCCUGUGCCAAGCGGGUUCACCGUGUGUGCUUUAGCUCUGUUACCAUAGUAACAGUCUUGACACUUUUUGAUCAGGCCUCAUAUAAUUAAUUCCUACACUAAUACAAUUUACAACACUUUUUCUCUUUUUAACUCUGUUUCUGACAAAAAAUACACUACUUGUGUAUCUUUAUUCUUUAGAUUGUUUCGGUCAUUUGACUGUGGCCAUGCUGGGGCACCACCUUGAAAGGUUUAGUUGAACAAAUCGACCCCAGUACAUAUUUUAUAUUUUCUUAAGGGUGCUACUUGUUCUAUCAGUCUCUUUUACUGAGUUAGUAAGUUACAGGGAUGUAAACAGACCAACACUGGUUAUCAAGUGGUGGUAAGGACGAACACACACACACACACACACACUCACUCACACAUUCACUCAUAUAUAUGAUGAGCUUCUUUCAGUUUCUAUCUACUAAAUCCAUUCACAAGGCUUUCAUUGGUCCAAAACUAAAGUGGACUUGCCCAAGAUGCCCAGGGACUGAACCUGAACACAUGUGGUUGGGAAGCAAGCUUCUUUACCACACAACCACACACACACCUGUUUCAAUUAAUUUUGAAAAUUAGGAGUUUCAAUAGAUUUAGAAAAAUGAUUAACUUUUUUUUAAUUAUUAUUCUACCAUUUGCAAACCUACAGAUUCUUAUGAAGCCAAGAAGAGAGCCUCCAGAGGUCACUUGACCAGCUAUACAUAGCAGCCAACUAUCCCUCAAUUCCUACCCAACUGUGUUAAAAAAGGAAGAAUAUAUUAGGAUAAUAUAGUCCUAUGUAUGCUGUAUGUCUUCAGAAAAGUUAGGAUGGUCAUGGUUAGAAGCAUCUUUCUUAUAGGACUCUCAGUCAGAGCUUGUCCCUCCCCUCCACUGUUUGACAACUAGUGUUGGUUUGUUUAUGUCCCUGUAAUUGUUUCGGCAUUGGAGAUUGAAUAAAUACCAGGCUCAAGAUAAAUGUAUAACACUGGGGUUGGUUCGUUUGACUAAAACCCUUCAAAGCUGUGCCCCAGCAUGGCUGCAGUCCAGUGACUGAAAGGAAUGCAAGACAAGAAGAUAUUUGGGUGGGUGGGGCUGAAAAGUUCCUGGCUUUGGGUAAAAGAAAAUAAUGGAGGAUCAGUUACGGUUUUAUUCAACAUAUUCUCAGAUUCACACACUUAUUGCAGCGAUCCUUCAGUUUUUCUAAGCCCUGUAAAAGAACUAGGAAGGUUAGACCUCCAACCAGGCCUUUCGUGAUGCCCUUAAAACCAGGAACUUUUCGGCCCCACCUGCUUGUAUAAUUUUUUUUCCCUUUUAUGGUUUCAAAUGCAUUUUUCAUGUUUGCAGAGCAUGUAGGAAAAUGUUUAUUUGCCAGCCUCCCCUGGCACCUGUGCCAGUGGCACGUAAAAAGCACAUACUGCACUCACAGUGUGGUUGGCGUUAGGAAGGGCAUCCAGACUGGUUCCUGUGCAGGUAGCAUGUAAAAAACAGCUUUUGAGCAUGGUUGUUGCCAGAACCACCUGACUGGCCCUUGUGCUAGGGGCAUGUAAAAGUACUCACUACACUUUCGGAGUGGUUGGCGUUAGGAAGGGCAUCCAGCUGUAGAAACACUGCCAAAUCAGAUUUAGCCUGGUGCAGCCUUCUGGCUUGCCAGUCCUCAGUUAAACAGUCCAACCCAUGCCAGCAUGGAGAACACAUUAAAUGAUGAUCAUGAUGUUGAUGAUGAUGAUUGUUUCCCCAAGUGGAUGGCUGCCCUUUUUGCCAUUAACCACUGGGAAGUAAAUGUGAAAUUAGGGUUUGCUUGUUGUUCAUCAUCAUCCUUUAACAUCCACUUUUCCAUGCUUGCAUGGGUCAGAUGGAAACUGUUGAGGCGGAUUUUCUAUGGGUGGAUGCCCUUCGUGUCACCAACCCUUACCUGUUUCCAGGCAAGGUAACAUUUCCCCCAUGGCCAGACAUGUCUUUCCAUGGAAGGUGGGGACCAAACAACAUCAUUCGUAUAACGGUGAUACUCAUCUACAACCAUUAUGUGAUAUAAUAACAAGAACACACACACACAGUGGGCUUCUUUUAGUUUCCGUCUACCAAAUCCAGUUAUAAGGCACUGUGGUUGACCUGCGGUUAUAGUAUGAGAUACUUGUCCAAGGUGCCACACAGUGGGACUGAACCCAAAACCAUGUGGCUGAGAAGCAAGCAUUUUAUUACACAGCCACACACACACACACACAUAUGGGAAUGGUGAUGUAAACAGGAAAAAUAGAACUCAAAAUACGAGUAAAUAUAUAUUUCUCAUCAUCGUUUAACGUCCGCUUUCCAUGCUAGCAUGGGUUGGAUGGUUUAACUGAGGACUGGCGAGCCAGGAGGCUGCACCAGGCUUCAAUCUGAUCUGGCAAAGUUGGAUGCUACAGCUGGAUGCCCUUCCUAACGCCAAUCACUCCGAGUAGUGUAGUGGGUGCUUUUACAUGCCACUAGCAUGAGGGCCAGUCAGGCAGUUCUGGCAAUGACCACGCUCAAAAGGUGUUUUUUACGUGCCAUCUGCACAGGAGCCAGUCUGGCGGCACUGGCAACAACCACACUCGAAUGUUGUUUUUCAUGUGCUGCAGUCCUUCAGUUAUUCUGUUGCUGCUGCUAAAUAUUAAUGAAAAUGUUUCCACUCUGUUGAGUGGUUGGUGUUAGGAAGGACUGGCUCUUGUCAAACCAUCCUACCCAGGCCAGCAUGGAAGGUGAAUGUUAAACGAUGAUGAUGUGUGUGUGUGUGUGUAUGUGUGUUUGUUUAUGUAUCAUGACUUAGCAGUCUGACAAACUGCAUUUAAUAAAAUAAGUAUCAGACUUUUAUUUAGUUUGAUUAAAACUUUUCAAUCCCACCAUAUCAGAGACCUGCUUGAAACUUAGUGUAUAUAUUAUAUACUUAUAUCUAUAUAUUAACGAACUAUAUAUUAAUUAACUGUUCUACAUUAAUGAUCUGUUGCUAAUUUUAUGUGACUGAUUUUUUGUUUUAUUUGUUGUUUCGUUUUCUGACAAUCAUUUUCUAGAAUGAAUUCCAUCCCAUUUCUUUUUUUUUUCUUUCUUGUUUAAAGAUUUUGAACAUGAAUUUAAUAAUUUCAUAUUUUAGUUCUUAAUUUUCCUUUUUUCUGUUUCUUUUUCAGGUUCUAGGUCGUUAAAUUAAAAAAAAAUCAUUUCGUCAAGCAUAUUAGUAUAUCAUAUUUUAAAAAUAAUAUAUAUAUAUUUACAUAUACAUAUAUAAAGAAAAAAAAAAAGUAAAAAACAAAAAAAAAAUUAACAAAAAAAAAUUC